RNAcentral lists this ribosomal RNA (301 nucleotides) under uncultured bacterium. RNAcentral describes it as "partial 16S ribosomal RNA". It matches the Rfam family "Bacterial small subunit ribosomal RNA", at positions 509 to 807 of the family's 1533-position model. The record is from RNAcentral.
CAGCCGCCACGGGAAUACGAAGGGGGCUAGCGUUGCUCGGAAUUACUGGGCGUAAAGGGAGCGUAGGCGGGUCGUUUAGUCAGAGGUGAAAUCCCGGGGCUCAACCUCGGAACUGCCAUUGAUACUGGCGACCUUGAGUAUGGGAGAGGUGAGUGGAACUCCGAGUGUAGAGGUGAAAUUCGUAGAUAUUCGGAAGAACACCAGUGGCGAAAGCGACUCACUGGCCCAUUACUGACGCUGAGGCUCGAAAGCGUGGGGAGCAAACAGGAUUAGAUACCCCUGUAGUCCCUGUCUCUUAUAC